Molecule: long non-coding RNA, 151 nt
Organism: Oncorhynchus keta (chum salmon)
Lineage: Eukaryota; Metazoa; Chordata; Actinopteri; Salmoniformes; Salmonidae
Exons: 3
Source: RefSeq, a predicted model, not a curated record
UCACCUAGUAGUGCUAUCUGCAGGGUUAGCUCCAGGUUAAUAUCACCCAGUAGUGCUAUCUGCAGAGUUAGCUCCAGGUUAAUGUCACCCAGUAGUGCUAUCUGCAGGGUUAGCUCCACGUUAAUGUCACCUAGUAGUGCUAUCUGCAGGG